This 367-nucleotide ribosomal RNA is filed under the name uncultured archaeon. RNAcentral describes it as "bacterial SSU rRNA". It matches the Rfam family "Archaeal small subunit ribosomal RNA", at positions 451 to 818 of the family's 1478-position model. The record is from RNAcentral.
CCUGGUGUCAGCCGCCGCGGUAAUACCAGCUCUCCGAGUGGUGGGGAUGCUUAUUGGGCCUAAAGCAUUCGUAGCCGGUUGGGCAAGUCCUCCGUUAAAUCCAGCGAUUCAAUCGUUGGACUGCAGGGGAUACUGUCCGGCUAGGGGGCGGAAGAGGCCGACGGUAUUCUCGGAGUAGGGGUGAAAUCCUAUAAUCCCGGGAGGACCACCAGUGGCGAAGGCUGUCGGCUAGAACGCGCUCGACGGUGAGGGACGAAAGCUGGGGGAGCGAACCGGAUUAGAUACCCGGGUAGUCCCAGCUGUAAACGAUGCGGGCUAGGUGUUGGGGUGGCUACGAGCCACUUCAGUGCCGCAGGGAAGCCAUUAA